GACGAACGCUGGCGGCGUGCUUAACACAUGCAAGUCGAGCGGUAAGGCCCUUCGGGGUACACGAGCGGCGAACGGGUGAGUAACACGUGAGCAAUCUGCCCUUCACUUUGGGAUAACCACCGGAAACGGUGGCUAAUACCGAAUAUGACCACUUCCUGCAUGGGAUGGUGGUGGAAAGUUCCGGCGGUGGAGGAUGAGCUCGCGGCCUAUCAGCUUGUUGGUGGGGUAAUGGCCUACCAAGGCAACGACGGGUAGCCGGCCUGAGAGGGUGACCGGCCACACUGGGACUGAGACACGGCCCAGACUCCUACGGGAGGCAGCAGUGGGGAAUAUUGGACAAUGGGCGAAAGCCUGAUCCAGCAACGCCGCGUGAGGGAUGACGGCCUUCGGGUUGUAAACCUCUUUCAGCAGGGACGAAGCGCAAGUGACGGUACCUGCAGAAGAAGCACCGGCCAACUACGUGCCAGCAGCCGCGGUAAUACGUAGGGUGCGAGCGUUGUCCGGAAUUAUUGGGCGUAAAGGGCUCGUAGGCGGUUUGUCGCGUCGGGAGUGAAAACACGGGGCUUAACUCCGUGCCUGCUUCCGAUACGGGCAGACUAGAGGUAUGCAGGGGAGAACGGAAUUCCUGGUGUAGCGGUGAAAUGCGCAGAUAUCAGGAGGAACACCGGUGGCGAAGGCGGUUCUCUGGGCAUUACCUGACGCUGAGGAGCGAAAGUGUGGGGAGCGAACAGGAUUAGAUACCCUGGUAGUCCACACCGUAAACGUUGGGCGCUAGGUGUGGGACUCAUUCCACGAGUUCCGUGCCGCAGCUAACGCAUUAAGCGCCCCGCCUGGGGAGUACGGCCGCAAGGCUA
RNAcentral lists this ribosomal RNA (854 nucleotides) under uncultured bacterium. Its description in RNAcentral is "bacterial SSU rRNA". It matches the Rfam family "Bacterial small subunit ribosomal RNA", at positions 28 to 896 of the family's 1533-position model. The record is from RNAcentral.